GAGAUGGAUAUUGGAGAGACCCUGCAAUAAGGGUACCUUGUCACUCAUGGAGCAAUACUGCCAUCAAGCGGAAUUGAUUUCCUGUUUCUAAGAACAAUCCUUAGGAUCCCAGGCAUCAGUUCCCUUGAGAGCUCAAAGCAGCCAUAACUUUCAGCCCUCAAAAUCUUCCUAGUAAGGUUCUCCAGCAAGCAGAAAGGAUUCUAGUUUCCCCUACCAUUCCCUGACCGAGAUCCAAAGAUCACAGCAAAUGGAUUCGCUUUUUCCCUUUCGCUUUCUCUGCCAGGGCGGAGGGAGAGAACCUGGGGUAAGGAUAUAUUGGCAUUCUUGAUACUACACUGCCAUCCAGCGGAAUACCUUUGCUGUUCCUGUCUACACUUCCAAGUGCUUUUUCUCAGCAGAUGUGAAGAAUUUGCAAGUAUGUUGCCGAUGUAUCUGCUCUGAGGCUGCUGACUCUUGGGAAGAAAGAAGUUCUCCUGCCUGACAAAUAUGGCUGCCACUGGACAUUGAAGCCGGCACUGCCUAAGGAAUUCUGGUUAUUACUCAGCUGUACAGCAAGCUUCUGAUGCUGUCAAUGGUGAGGUCCCCACCUGUGAUCUGGACGUCACCUGGACUUGGAUCUGUUACUUCAGUUUUUAUAAGAGUCCCCCAAAUAUAUUUCACAUUCCUUCACCCCC
RNAcentral lists this long non-coding RNA (674 nucleotides) under Rattus norvegicus (Norway rat). Its description in RNAcentral is "long non-coding RNA NONRATT030740". The record is from RNAcentral. Lineage: Eukaryota; Metazoa; Chordata; Mammalia; Rodentia; Muridae.